RNAcentral lists this ribosomal RNA (259 nucleotides) under uncultured bacterium. RNAcentral's name for it is "partial 16S ribosomal RNA". It matches the Rfam family "Bacterial small subunit ribosomal RNA", at positions 8 to 264 of the family's 1533-position model. The record is from RNAcentral.
AGAGUUUGAUCCUGGCUCAGGACGAACGCUGGCGGCGUGCCUAACACAUGCAAGUCGAGCGGAGACAGUGAGUAGCUUGCUAUGAGCUGUUUUAGCGGCGGACGGGUGAGUAACGCGUGAGCAACCUUUCCCAGACAGGGGAAUAACACACCGAAAGGUGUACUAAUACCGCAUAAGACCACGGAAUCACAUGGUUCUGAGGUAAAAGAUUUAUCGGUUUGGGGUGGGCUCGCGUCCGAUUAGGUAGUUGGUGAACGGG